CGUCAUGGCAGCCGUGCGCGGGCAGGCUUACGUCUGGCUGCGUUCCUAUAUCCGCGGUUUCUCACCUCGCGUACGGCUGCCGCCCUG
This 87-nucleotide non-coding RNA is filed under the name Pseudomonas sp. RV120224-01c. RNAcentral also lists the same sequence under 1 other name. Lineage: Bacteria; Pseudomonadati; Pseudomonadota; Gammaproteobacteria; Pseudomonadales; Pseudomonadaceae. The record is from RNAcentral.